Molecule: long non-coding RNA, 5157 nt
Filed under: Capsicum annuum
Lineage: Eukaryota; Viridiplantae; Streptophyta; Magnoliopsida; Solanales; Solanaceae
Description: long non-coding RNA (CANN_LNC004875)
Source: RNAcentral
AAUGAUAGCAUGCCUACUGUACUCUGGAUAUGGGACAUAAACCAUCUUGAGCUAGCUGCCAUCUUAGUUCAGAAAGAUCCCAUCCGGACUGCAGCCUGGGAUCCCACAUGUCCACGUUUGGUUUUAUGUACUGGAAGCUCCCACUUGUACAUGUGGACACCUUUGGGUGCUUAUUGCAUAAAUGUUCCAUUGCCUCAAUUUGCUGUAAUUGAUCUGAAAUGGAACUCAGAUGGGAGCUGCCUUUUUCUCAAAGACAAGGAGUCAUUCUGCUGUGCUGCUCCGGAGAUACUGCAGGAAUCCAGUGAUUAUAGCUCUGACGACUGAUGAUUCUAUCAUACACAUAAUGAAACUUAAUGGAGCUGAAAUUUUUUGCUCAUCACAUCUCCCAAAGUAUCAUCCCUCAAGGAGGCAGCUUAGCUUGCUUAUUAUUUUUCAGUUUGCACUAUUGACAUGGAGGAAGAGGUAAUCUUAGGCUGUAAUAAUCUGGUUUAUUUGCAUUCUAAUGGCGUAUAUUUGAGAUCCAAAAAGGUAGGACAGAUUUUAGAAUCCAGAUUUGUAACGUAAUCUCCUGACAGAUAAGUCAAAGGGGGUCUUUUGAGAGGACCUUUGCCUAUGCUGGAUACCAAAUUUAAUGUACUAAUAAAUUAUCUCUAAGUUAAUGCGCAAUGCCUGAAGCACAACUAUUGCCUGCAUGCGAUGGAGUGUUCCAUCCCAUCUCAAAAACACAAAGGUUUCUUCACUGGCUUGCAGUGCCUUGACUUGAGUUCUAACUGUCGGAUUGAGUGAGAUUACCAGAUAUCUGCGACUACAUCUUUAGAUUCAUCGAUCUAUUUUGAUGGAAGAUGGUGCAAGUGCAACGAACAGUUGGUUCGAAAACAUUCCCCAGCUCACUGUGAACUGAACAAUUGAAAUUUUGGGCACAAACAAGUUUAAGUGGAAAUAUUGGCUUAUUUAUUCUUCAGAUGGCAUAAAAGUUAAUGGUAGGAGUUUUUUUUUUUUUUUUUUUUUUUUGUAGUUGAAUAUGAUCAGUUAGAUACUAAUAUUCAACUUCUUGGUUUCUUAAAGAGUAUGUGGGACAAAAUGUGCAGUUUCCCGAAAAUUAACUUCUUGAUCUUUUCCUUAUUGUACGUGAUGUGUGUUGGAGUAUCUAUAAGCUAUAUCUAUAUAUCUAUGUAUCUAUAUAUAUAAUAUAUUAAAAGUGUGAAAAUUUUUGAUUUGAAUUUUUUGCCCUUCAUUAAAAGUUUUCACAAUAGACAAAACUAUCUUUUUAUUAUUUUCAUAUUUAUAAUAUUUGAAUUUUAAAAUUAAGAAAUCCUAAAAUAUAUGGUAAAAAAAAUAAUUAGCAUAUUUUAACCCUAGCGAUUUGGAAGUAAAAAUAUAAUAGAUUUUAUUUUAAUGUUGGUAGGUUUUUUAUCCCCAUAAUUAAUAUUAAACCACUCUUUCUAUAUUUAGUUGUACUUGGCUUCUUUACUACUAUGUUUCCUUUUCAUACUAUCUUGGAUAUGCUGUAGUUGAGUCGUUGAUCUAUCUGAAACAAGUACAACCUCUCUACACUCACAAGGUAUGGGUAAGGCUGCGUAUGUACCACCCUCUCCGGACUCCACUGGGCAUGUUAUUGUAUAGGGGAGAGGGGGUGGGAAAUCUUAAUAGUCCAUUGGGAAAAUGUGGUUCUGGUUUGCUCAUUAGAAUUUUUUUUAUUUUUGAUAAAGGUAUUUUAUUACUCUCUCUAUUCCAAUUUUUAUGUGACUUACUUUCCCUGUCCCAAUUUAUUUGGCACACUUUCUUUUUUAGUUCCCCACUUUGUGAGAGUAAAUGGGUAUGUUGUUGUUGUUAUUGUACAUUCAUUUUUAGUCCAUCCCAAAAAGAAUGCCACCUUUCUAUAAUAAGAAAGAAUCUAAUUUUAAAAUUUCCCUUUUACCUCAAUGAAACGAUUUAUAAUCACACAAUUGUCUAUGGUGUUUUAGAUCACAAAUUUCAAAUGGUCUUCCUUUUUCUUAAACUUUUUGCCAAUGUCACAUAAAUUGACGGAAGGAGUAGUAUGAAUCAGCACAAAAUUGAAGAAAUAAUGACUUCUGAAACAUGUCGCUUAAAACAUACCAUAGCUUUUUUGGCUCUUAUUCCACAUGAUGCAUAGUGGGCUAGUCUUCUUCCAUGUUUUCUUCUAAAUCUUCUAAAUUCUUCACCCAUGCCAUCAAGAUAGUAGAAUUUCACAUCUUGGGGCAUCACUGUUAGAACUCCAAAGAUAUUUAAGAAGAAAGACCAAAUCUGCCAAAGAUAUUGAAUAGGUCUCAAGUUCAAAUCCCAAGGCAAUAAACAGUGGGUGAUUUUUCUAUAUGUCAAAGCCUUGUUUGACGGUGUUAUCCGGUAUUUGAGUUGGUGGGAGUUAGCAAGUGCCUGGUGGAAUAGUUGAGGUGGGCGCAGCUAGCCUGGGUACCACUGUCAUAAACAAAAGAUGUUGCUGGUUUUUAUAGGAUAUCACUUGAAAAAACACCUCUUGCAAAGUGAAUAGCCUGUUCUCUGAAAUGCAACUUGAAUCAGACAAGCGAUGCUGUAAAGCUAUCCAAAGCAAGCUGCUUCAGUUGCUGCUGCCUUUGUUCUCCAUAACUAUAACAUCCUACCAGGCCGAUUAUUUUCCCAGCUCAUUGAUUGGUUUUGCAGCAGCGAGUACUAGCUUUUUACAGCUCCUUGAUUGUUUUGUGCUCGUUAGGGAUUUGAGGUUUGACCGUUAAGCUAAUGACACAUGUUCUAAUUCCUGACAAAGUUUAACUAACGCAAUGCCUGUAUCAACCUGAUCUAUAUUGGUAUGUUUGAAGAAGGUGAUGAAGAGAGAGAACUCCGUUUGAAGUUAAAGAAAGUAGAUUUGUUAACUAAACAUGUCAAGCCUAACUUUUAGGAUUUUGAACUAGGGCCAGAAGCCUAUUAUGCAGGAAUAGGAACAAAGGAAAACAUCCCAACUAAUUCUAGGGGAAAAUGUAUGUUUAAAUAUAAGUUCUAGAGUGUACUGCAGUAAAAUACAAAAAUAUUAUAUGCUUUUGUUGUAGGUGUAAACUAAAUAAAUAAAAGUGUUCCUCUCUAACUACUUGAGUUUUCUGGAUGAGGUAGUUACAUAAUUCAGUAUGGUACUAGAGAAAAAUAUAUGGUACAUUGGUACUACCGGAAACAUAUAUUCUAAGUUUGAAUGUUACUUUCAUUCAUCAGUAGCAGUUUUUUCACAUGCCUGGUUUGUGCAAAAAGGUCAUGCCCUCACAUGUGGAGACGUGAUGCAGAUUUUAAGUAAAUAAAUAACAGCAUUCCUUCUCUAACAUGUUAGGUUUUUCGGAUGAGGUGGUCACACAAUUUAUUAAUUUUCACAUUAGCUUAUCUUUUGUACAAUUGUAAUUCUUUUAUAAGGUUUCUGCAACUAUAACUUUUGUGAUGUAAGAAAAAUCAAUUAUAAUGUUAGCACUCUCUGUUGCUGUAUAUAAACCUUAUUAUUUUGAAGACACCUUCAACAUAUGUUGUCUUUCUUUUACGUACUCAGUUGGAUUUUGACAUCAUGUCUCCUCAAGUACAUUUAACUCCAUUUGGUUUCUGAUUUUUGAAAACUCUCAAACAGACCCAAUUUUUUAUUUUAUUUUUAUAUAUAGGUUCAUAUUUUCAAACUACUUUUUUGGCUUCUCGGAGGGUUGGACCUUGUGGCUACUGGCUUCACAGGCCCUUCCCUCUUUUCUCUCUCUUUUUUUUCCUCUUUUCCCCUUUGUUUUGGUCUAAAUAGCGAGCAAGGUGUUUUUUAUUUUUGACUUUUUGGAUUUCUAGAGAUAAGAUUAAUAGCAAAUAAAGAUGUUUACUUAAUUCUUCUUCUAAUUAUAACUAUAUAUGUGAAAGUCUAUCAAUGUUUUAAGACUUCACUGAUACUGUUUCAUGAGUUUUCCUACCCAAAUCCAAAUACAAUAAUUUUUCAAAACCGAUUCUUCAAAAAUUAAAUCCAGACAUGCAUCAUUGCUAUCAAGAAACCAAAGAUAAAUGUAAAUCUGCUGAUGCAUGACAGAUUGUCCAAGCUAUGGUAGGUAGUCCUUUUCUAAGCGGCUGAUUGGCAGAAAUGACAAAUUGGUUGUGGAUGCACCCAAAAUUUCUUUUGUAUUUUAAUUGUUUCUUUUUGUUAAGAACCUGUGAGAUCUUCAAACCAACUUUGUCAUUUCCCAGAUAAUGCUUCUGAGGCACAUAUUCAAGUAAGAUACAAUGUUUUGGAGAUACCUAUCAAUCUCCCUUCUCAGAAACCUCCUGCAGAUAAGCCGAAUCCCAAACAAGGAAUCAGUAAGUCUUUGGUUCAAAUAUUUUAUUAAGUGAGAAAUUUCAUCACUGUCUUUUGUCUUCAUAUUCUUAGUUGUUCCUGUUUAUUUAUGAAUAUCACCUAAAUAUGGCAAAUAUUAGAUAAAAGUUGAACAAUUGGAUAUUUGUUUAGGAGAUUUUGAACAUUUAUCAUCUUUUCAAUGGCCACGUAGUUCUUGUUUUCCUUCUUGACAACUAAACCUUUAUAGUAACAUUUAUUGACUUGAGCGAUAAGUCUGAUAAUGCUCUAAUUUCUGAAUGAUAACUAUUAGCUUUCUAUUUGAUGAGGAUCUGUUCUAUCUCAAAGUGAGCUUUAUCAGCCUAGUAUCUUCAUCGUCAAGGAUUCAUGCAGAACGUUUCUGAAUUUAUAGAUCUAUGAUCUACAAGUAGAAGCUUGUUUUGGUUGGCUAACCUAUCUAUUGAAUCUCCAUAAGAUCAGAGAAACUACUCUCUAGGCUCACAAAUGAGUGCUUCGUUAUGCGAAACUUAAUUGCAGGCCUGAUGUCAUGGAGCAGCGAUUGUCAAUAUAUUUGCACUCGCAAUGAUAGCAUGCCUACUGUACUCUGGAUAUGGGACAUAAACCAUCUUGAGCUAGCUGCCAUCUUAGUUCAGAAAGAUCCCAUCCGGACUGCAGCCUGGGAUCCCACAUGUCCACGUUUGGUUUUAUGUACUGGAAGCUCCCACUUGUACAUGUGGACACCUUUGGGUGCUUAUUGCAUAAAUGUUCCAUUGCCUCAAUUUGCUGUAAUUGAUCUGAAAUGGAACUCAGAUGGGAGCUGCCUUUUUCUCAAAGACAAGGAGUCAUUCUGCUGUGCUGCUCCGGAGAUACUGCAGGAAUCCAGUGAUUAU